CGUAGGUGACCUACCGUACAGUGGGGGAUAACCAGAAGAAAUUCUGGCUAAUACCGCAUACGCAGUACAAUUUUGAAAGUAGUACUGGAAAGGAUGCUUCGGCAUUCACUGAACGAUGGGCCUGCGUAGCAUUAGUUUGUUGGUGAGGUAACGGCUUACCAAGACUACGAUGCUUAGCUGGUCUGAGAGGAUGAUCAGCCACACUGGAACUGAGACACGGUCCAG
This 225-nucleotide ribosomal RNA is filed under the name uncultured bacterium. RNAcentral describes it as "partial 16S ribosomal RNA". It matches the Rfam family "Bacterial small subunit ribosomal RNA", at positions 116 to 334 of the family's 1533-position model. The record is from RNAcentral.